This 892-nucleotide long non-coding RNA is filed under the name Fragaria vesca (wild strawberry). Its description in RNAcentral is "long non-coding RNA (FVES_LNC004862)". Lineage: Eukaryota; Viridiplantae; Streptophyta; Magnoliopsida; Rosales; Rosaceae. The record is from RNAcentral.
GGGCAUAGUUACCUCAGUUUUUUUUGGAGAUCCCUCUUGAAAAACACAAAGCAAUUAAAAGAUCCACUAUAUGAUACAGUAAAAUUGUAUGGAGUACUAACCUUUACAUUCAUCAAGUGCAUGAGAAUAAUGUUUCCUAUACAAAUUUUACUUUUCAACUAUAAAUUUCUCUCAUUAAGCAAACUAGAUUUCAAAAACUGAGAUAUCAAAUAAUUUGAGACCAACACUGAAAAGUUAGACCUUCCUUCCCCUGGCUAGCUUCGUCUUAAUACCAAGCUAUCUCACAAAUUAUAGACUAGCCUUCCUGCACGCGCGAUGCAUGUGCGAAAGGUCCGCGCUCACGCGUGCGUUUUGGUUUUUUUGUGUUUCAUUAUUAUGUCUCAUAGUUCAUAUAUAUUGUAGCUACUUUCAGUGGUAGAAAUAUAGAAAUUUGGCAACCCUUGAUCCACAUUUUUAUAUAUAUAACAAAGUACAGUUAAAAAGAGGUAUACAACAACCUUAUCUCUUUUGAAAACAGAAUUACGUUGAACAAAAAACUAAAAGAGCAUAAAAUAAAGUGCAAAUACAACUGGAAAAAUACUGUAGAAACUGGAGUGAAGAUUUAAAACGGAAGAGAAAAUACAACUAAAAAAAAUACUUUGGAAACCCGAGUGAAGAUUUAAAACGGAAGAAAACAGAUGAAUCUGGGAAAUAUAAGCAAUAAUCAUGAGUAGCUUAGCAAACAAAACCAAAACAUGGUUAAAGACAUAUACAUGAACUCCAAAUGUAAGACUUCUCCAAAGUUGCAUUAUGCAUUAUAAGACCUCCAAAUGUAAAUAUUAUACAACAUAUGUAAUUAAACCAAGGCAUAGCUUUUCAUAGCUCAUGGACGUACUCAAAGAUGUAUCACAUA